RNAcentral lists this ribosomal RNA (497 nucleotides) under uncultured bacterium. Its description in RNAcentral is "partial 16S ribosomal RNA". It matches the Rfam family "Bacterial small subunit ribosomal RNA", at positions 28 to 507 of the family's 1533-position model. The record is from RNAcentral.
GAUGAACGCUGGCGGCGUGCCUAAUACAUGCAAGUCGAGCGAACAGACGAGGAGCUUGCUCCUCUGACGUUAGCGGCGGACGGGUGAGUAACACGUGGAUAACCUACCUAUAAGACUGGGAUAACUUCGGGAAACCGGAGCUAAUACCGGAUAAUAUAUUGAACCGCAUGGUUCAAUAGUGAAAGACGGUUUUGCUGUCACUUAUAGAUGGAUCAGCGCCGCAUUAGCUAGUUGGUAAGGUAACGGCUUACCAAGGCAACGAUGCGUAGCCGACCUGAGCGGGUGAUCGGCCACACUGGAACUGAGACACGGUCCAGACUCCUACGGGAGGCAGCAGUAGAGAAUCUUCCGCAAUGGGCGAAAGCCUGACGGAGCAACGCCGCGUGAGUGAUGAAGGUCUUCGGAUCGUAAAACUCUGUUAUUAGGGAAGAACAAAUGUGUAAGUAACUAUGCACGUCUUGACGGUACCUAAUCAGAAAGCCACGGCUAACUACGUG